GGGAUAGGUAGGGAUAGUUUGUUGAACACCUACUUAUGAAAGAUUCAGAGAACUCUACAACCUCUCAUAGGUGUUACGGGAUGUUGUGGAAUUUAAAUGGAAAGGGUGGCGCCAUAGGAUACGUCUGGUCAACGUUUUUGGCAAUUUUAUCGAUGCUGCCGUCAUUUGUCGUCCAUCACCUCGGUUGAUCAUCCGCUGCGUUUCUGAAACAACAACAUAGUUAUUCCUCCAUCCGGCGACCAAGCGCAUUGCCGCAAAAACGAAAAAAAAAAUAUAUUCAACUGACGACGCAAACAAAGACGAACCCUCUUACUUGGGUUUUUACCAAGCACACUCUGCUGAAAGGAAAAAAGGGCAAAUUAAAUAGAAACAAAAUAACUAAAAUCAGUUAUUCACUUUUGCAGCCUUAAAGAUUCGGUGAAUAUUGUUCUUAAUAUGAUUUGUCAUUUAUUCUUUUGUUUUGUAAUUAGUUGAUUAUGAUUAAGUACUUAAAAUGUUUAUUAAUGGGUUGGAGUGCAUGUAGACGAAUGUUUUGCAAUAAUGAUUUCCCUGAAAAGUGAAUCAAUAAAAAAAAAAGAAAAAAAGAAACAAAACUGGCAACACGCAUGUAUUUUUCGUGCUGCAUCGGGUGUUGCUGUCGUUGCUGUAGCUGUAGCGUUAGUUUACUUCGAUGGGACACACAUAAGUCAUUCGUCUUCCUUUGUGAAACCAUUUCAUGCACUCUCAGAAACUUCCACCCUUCGUACUUCGAUCUUCAUACGGUGCACUUUUCGUAACAUAGACUCAAACGUAGGUAGUUAAAACUAUUAAAAAAAUCAAGUUUAAUAGUUUCGAAGAAUGUUAUUCUGUUACAAGGAUUAAUAUUUUCGAAAAGUAAGCAGAUGAUUGAUUCCUGUUAAUCUAUCACUAUAAGUAACAGUAGUAAUGAGUAAUAUUAUAUGACCGUGUCGUCACGAUCUGUAAUGGAUACUUGAAAUGUUUCGUCCGGUUAAAAUCUUUGCUGAUGCGUUUUAUCAACCGUUACACAUGCCAAAAUCACGGCGAGUAAACCGGUUGAACAUAAUGUUGUUAUUAUGAUUUUGUUCCUCGGUCAAAAGUAAAGAAAAGAAAACAGGAUAUUUUGAUAGCAAAACGACCUGAGGAAUCCGAUGGACAAAGCUAGUUGUACGCAGUAUACGGUACAGCUCCUUUACCGGUUCAGGUGUGCAUGCACCAUUUCAACUUGUGAACCACCAGAUGAAAAAUCAAUUUAUUUGCACAAAACGAGAUUUUCACAAAAACUUCACUUGCGUAAGCCAACGUUGAGAUUCUGCGGCCAAUUAUAGCUAAUAAGCACCAAUUUUUAACACAAAAAAUAACACUAAUUUUGUUAAAAUACAGGACUCUUAUUUUCACCACUUCACCUGACUAAGGUAAUGCUUACUAAACCAUACAUAACCACCAAAUGGAGACUCGGUGAUUAUCACUGGGGUUACCUAUCGCACUUACAUGGAAAUCACGUACACGGAGAAAUCGGCAAAUGCUAUUUAACAUAUUAUAAAUGACAUUCCAAAUAUUAACCCACUUUAAUCAUUGCAACUGAUAACAAAAACGCUUGGCCGCAAUUUUUUUAUACUUUGCAAAUCUUAUUUAUGAGAUAUAAUAAGCUGAGCAUAUGACAUAGCAGAUAUUACUCUAGGGACUUUAUAAAAUUCACUAGUCAUUUUCUUCACCUAUUGUACAAAAUGGAAGCCAUCGCAAACAUCUCCAUAUUUUCACGUGUGUUUUCACCUUUUCCAUAAGUUUAAUUCCAUGACAAAUUGCAUUUAAAAAACAUGCACCAUUCACGGUAAGUUUCGCAUUCAAUUGACGCUACUGUUCCAUGUAUUUGUAUUUUACUGUAUUAUUUCUCCCUCAGAAAACAAAUUCGUUCUGUUUGGCCUCGUAUCAGAGCGCGUCGCGGACGGCUCCAUUUUCUGAUCAUUAAUCGGCAUACCAGGAUCUUCUUUGAAAUUGGAAGCUAUGAACAUCAAGCAACAAGAAUUAUUGUCGUUUCGUUAAUCGAGUGAAACUGGCCCGGAAAGAAUCAAACCAAACGGUUCUGUUUCGCGCCACUCUGUGUCGGAUCCGUACGAUCUGCAACUAGGUUCGUGGCUCGAUAUGGAUGGUCAUGAUUAAGGUUUCACGGAUUCUACGAGGAUAUCGUCGAAAUGUUUUACUCUAGUAGAAGAUGUAGUAUAUUUAUUUUAGUAAAUUAUUAUUUAUCACAUAUUUGCGUUUCAUUCAUUAU
This is a long non-coding RNA of Aedes aegypti (yellow fever mosquito), 2269 nucleotides long. RefSeq lists it as uncharacterized. Lineage: Eukaryota; Metazoa; Arthropoda; Insecta; Diptera; Culicidae. The record is from RefSeq and is a predicted model, not a curated record. The transcript is spliced from 2 exons.